Molecule: ribosomal RNA, 406 nt
Filed under: uncultured bacterium
Lineage: Bacteria
Description: partial 16S ribosomal RNA
Rfam family: Bacterial small subunit ribosomal RNA
Source: RNAcentral
AUUGAACGCUGGCGGCAGGCCUAACACAUGCAAGUCGAACGAGUGGCGGACGGGUGAGUAAUGUCUGGGAAACUGCCUGAUGGAGGGGGAUAACUACUGGAAACGGUAGCUAAUACCGCAUACCAUCGGAUGUGCCCAGAUGGGAUUAGCUAGUAGGUGGGGUAAAGGCUCACCUAGGCGACGAUCCCUAGCUGGUAUGAGCGGAUGAACAGCACCACUGGAAAUGAGACACGGUCCAGACUCCUACGGGAGGCAGCAGUGGGGAAUAUUGCACAAUGGGCGCAAGCCUGAUGCAGCCAUGCCGCGUGUAUGAAGAGGGCCUUCGGGUUGUAAAGUACUUUCAGCGGGGAGGCGUUACCAACAGAAUAAGCACCGGCUAACUUCGUGCCAGCCGCCGCGGUAAUUC